RNAcentral lists this ribosomal RNA (497 nucleotides) under uncultured bacterium. Its description in RNAcentral is "partial 16S ribosomal RNA". It matches the Rfam family "Bacterial small subunit ribosomal RNA", at positions 28 to 507 of the family's 1533-position model. The record is from RNAcentral.
GACGAACGCUGGCGGCGUGCCUAAUACAUGCAAGUUGAGCGCUGAAGGUUGGUACUUGUACCAACUGGAUGAGCAGCGAACGGGUGAGUAACGCGUGGGGAAUCUGCCUUUGAGCGGGGGACAACAUUUGGAAACGAAUGCUAAUACCGCAUAAAAACUUUAAACACAAGUUUUAAGUUUGAAAGAUGCAAUUGCAUCACUCAAAGAUGAUCCCGCGUUGUAUUAGCUAGUUGGUGAGGUAAAGGCUCACCAAGGCGAUGAUACAUAGCCGACCUGAGAGGGUGGUCGGCCCCCUUGGGACUGAGACCCGGCCCAAACUCCUACGGGAGGCCGCCGGAGGGAAUCUUCGGCAAUGGACGAAAGUCUGACCGAGCAACGCCGCGUGAGUGAAGAAGGUUUUCGGAUCGUAAAACUCUGUUGGUAGAGAAGAACGUUGGUGAGAGUGGAAAGCUCAUCAAGUGACGGUAACUACCCAGAAAGGGACGGCUAACUACGUG